AGUUUGAUCCUGGCUCAGAAUCAACGCUGGCGGCGUGCCUCAGACAUGCAAGUCGAACGAUUAAGACUUCCUUCGGGAAGUGCAUAAAGUGGCGCACGGGUGAGUAACACGUAAGUAAUCUACCCUCGAGUGGGGAAUAACGUUCGGAAACGGACGCUAAUACCGCAUAACGCAGCGGCACCGCAAGGUGACAGUUGUUAAAGGAGCAAUCCGCUUGAGGAGGAGCUUGCGGCAGAUUAGCUAGUUGGUAGGGUAAUGGCUUACCAAGGCUACGAUCUGUAUCCGGUCUAAGAGGACGGUCGGACACACUGACACUGAAUAACGGGUCAGACUCCUACGGGAGGCAGCAGUCGGGAAUUUUGGGCAAUGGGCGAAAGCCUGACCCAGCAACGCCGCGUGAAGGAUGAAGUAUUUCGGUAUGUAAACUUCGAAAGAAUAGGAAGAAUAAAUGACGGUACUAUUUAUAAGCUCCGGCUAACUACGUG
Molecule: ribosomal RNA, 485 nt
Filed under: uncultured bacterium
Lineage: Bacteria
Description: bacterial SSU rRNA
Rfam family: Bacterial small subunit ribosomal RNA
Source: RNAcentral